AAGGAGGUGAUCCAUCCGCACCUUCCGAUACGGCUACCUUGUUACGACUUCACCCCAGUCAUGAAUCCUACCGUGGUAAUCGCCCCCCUUGCGGUUAGGCUAACUACUUCUGGUAAAACCCACUCCCAUGGUGUGACGGGCGGUGUGUACAAGACCCGGGAACGUAUUCACCGCGACAUGCUGAUCCGCGAUUACUAGCGAUUCCGACUUCAUGCAGGCGAGUUGCAGCCUGCAAUCCGGACUACGAUCGGGUUUCUGGGAUUGGCUCCCCCUUGCGGGUUGGCGACCCUCUGUCCCGACCAUUGUAUGACGUGUGAAGCCCUACCCAUAAGGGCCAUGAGGACUUGACGUCAUCCCCACCUUCCUCCGGUUUGUCACCGGCAGUCUCAUUAGAGUGCCCUUUCGUAGCAACUAAUGACAAGGGUUGCGCUCGUUGCGGGACUUAACCCAACAUCUCACGACACGAGCUGACGACAGCCAUGCAGCACCUGUGUUCCGGUUCUCUUGCGAGCACACUUCAAUCUCUCGAAGCUUCCAGACAUGUCAAGGGUAGGUAAGGUUUUUCGCGUUGCAUCGAAUUAAUCCACAUCAUCCACCGCUUGUGCGGGUCCCCGUCAAUUCCUUUGAGUUUUAAUCUUGCGACCGUACUCCCCA
RNAcentral lists this ribosomal RNA (654 nucleotides) under uncultured Denitrobacter sp. Its description in RNAcentral is "partial 16S ribosomal RNA". Lineage: Bacteria; Pseudomonadati; Pseudomonadota; Betaproteobacteria. The record is from RNAcentral.